AGUGAACGCUGGCGGUAUGCCUUACACAUGCAAGUCGAACGGUAACGGGUCCUUCGGGAUGCCGACGAGUGGCGAACGGGUGAGUAAUAUAUCGGAACGUGCCCAGUAGUGGGGGAUAACUGCUCGAAAGAGCAGCUAAUACCGCAUACGACCUGAGGGUGAAAGGGGGGGAUCGCAAGACCUCUCGCUAUUGGAGCGGCCGAUAUCAGAUUAGCUAGUUGGUGGGGUAAAGGCCUACCAAGGCAACGAUCUGUAGUUGGUCUGAGAGGACGACCAGCCACACUGGGACUGAGACACGGCCCAGACUCCUACGGGAGGCAGCAGUGGGGAAUUUUGGACAAUGGGCGCAAGCCUGAUCCAGCAAUGCCGCGUGCAGGAAGAAGGCCUUCGGGUUGUAAACUGCUUUUGUCAGGGAAGAAAUCUUCUGGGCUAAUACCCCGGGAGGAUGACGGUACCUGAAGAAUAAGCACCGGCUAACUACGUGCCAGCCGCCGCAGUAA
This 500-nucleotide ribosomal RNA is filed under the name uncultured bacterium. RNAcentral describes it as "partial 16S ribosomal RNA". It matches the Rfam family "Bacterial small subunit ribosomal RNA", at positions 29 to 523 of the family's 1533-position model. The record is from RNAcentral.